UAGGGAUAACUUUAUUUUGAUUUUAAUUGACUUUUCCUCAGUGUUGAACGUCUUUCCACUUAGUGUCAUCUAGAUAUUCUCUUGGGAAAAUGUCUUUUUAUGUGUUUUGUCAUUUUCUAAUUGGAUUGUUUAAUCACUGUUGAAUUUUGAGAGUCUUUAAUGUAUAUUAGAUACUAGACCUUUGUUGGCUAUGUGGUUUACAAAUAUUUUUCUCUCUAAAGACUCUUCAUCAUUUUGGCUUUUGCAGAGCAAAAGUUUAAUAACGUUGGAUUGAGUAGUUUUUCUUUUAUGGAUCAUGCUUUCGGUGUCAGGUCUAAGAAUUUGUUGCCUAGCUGUAGAUCCUGACAACUUUUCUCCUGUUUCUUCAAGCUUUUAGUUUUCACUUUAAAGUGAAAAACUAAAAGUUGCACAAUAAAGUCCCUCAUAUAUGUAGAGUUAAUUUUUGUAUAUGAUUGAGGUUCUUUUUUUUUACCUGUGGAUGUACAAUUGCUUCAGCACUGUUUUUCAAAAAGGCACUUUUUACCUUCCUUCAAAAUGUUUUUGCAUUUUUGUGAAAAAUCAGAUGAGCUUAUUUGUGAGUCUUAAUUUUGGGUUUUCUAUUGUUUCAUUGAUAUUGAUAUCUGUCAACUAAAAACAUAGAGUCUUUAAUUACUAUAGCUAUAUAAUUUUAAAAUCAGAAUAAUCCCUCUUUUUCAAAAUUAUUUUAGCUAUUUUGGUUCCUUUGCAUUUUUAUAUAAACUUUAGCAAUUCUUAUCUAUAACAAAAAAAAACCUUGCCGGGCUUUUUGCAUUAAUGAAUUGCAUUAAAUCUGCAUUUCAUUUUUGGGAGAAUCGACAUCUUAACUGUGUCGUCCUCAAGUCUAUGAACAAGAUUUGUCUUUGCCACUUGCUUACAUCUUCUUUGAUUUCUUGCAUUAGCAUUUCUUCGUUUUUGGCAUAUGAGGCCUGUUCGUGGUUUUAAUUUUGGUGUUUGUGUGUUGUUCAUUACUAGCAUAAAGGAGUUUUGUAUGUUUGUACCCUGGGACUUUGCUGCUAGAGGGCCACCACUGCUGCAUUGUAAAUCUAAAGCCAUUGGCCCUGAGGAAGGAAGAAAAUGAACGAGAGUAACUCAGAUGUAAGUAGGUUUUUUGCUAAAGAAUGGUGGUAGUAGAAAUGCCUUUUGAUUUUAAGAACUUUUGAGGGCUGUAAAUAUGUUUUUUAUUUCUAGUUUGAAUACGUCACUUUUCAUUUUACAUCUUGUAUUUCCCUCAGACCUAGAGCCACCCUUCUCUCCAGGAAGCCCUGGGUUCUUUUAGGGGAGAAUGAUAUUUAAGAGCCAAGAUUUGGGCUCUCUUGCAACCGGUCACUUAUUACUUCAAAACAGCUGGAAGAGAACAGUGAUUAGAGCUAGCAAAUGAAAAUAAUUAUUGGUACACCUGGAUAUUUCAAAGCUGAUGGUUUUUAACUUUGUAACUCCUUUCAUUUUAUACUUUUAUCCCUUUUACUUACAUUGCAAAUAAUUAUUCCUUAAUAAUAAUGCUUUAACCCUAAAAUAUACAUAAAGUGUUCCAAAAUUACAGUACCAAUAUUAGUAAAAAUAAAACUACUGAAUAAAGCUCAAGAAAUUUUUGCAGGUUUUUUUUUUUUUUUUCUUCUUUUUAGGGCUCCACGCAUGUCAUAUGGAGGUUCCCAGGCUAGGGGUGGAAUCAGAGCUGUAGCCACUGGCGUAUGCCAGAGCCACAGCAACGCGGGAUCCGAGCCCCGUCUGCAACCUACACCACAGCUCACGGCAACGCCGGAUUCUUAACCCACGGAGCAAGGCCAGGGAUGAGACCUCCGUCCUCAUGGAUGCUAGUCAGAUUUGAGCCAUGAUGCGAGCUCCCUUGCAGGUGUUUUUAAGAUGGGAAUCUUUUCACUAUAUACUACCAAGAAAGUACAGAGAGUACUGAGUUGAAAAUUAUUUUGGGAGAGUUCCCUUUUGGUGCAGGGGGUUAAGAUCUGGCAUCAACACUGUGGAGGUUCCUGUCACUUGUGUGGCAAGGGUUUGAUUCCUGGCUUAGGAACUUCCACAUGCUGCAGGUGUGGCCAAAAUUAAAAAGCUUCAUUAAACAAUUCUUUGUGUAGAUAUUUUACCAAUUUGAUAUACAUAUUGGUUUACUUAACUCCAUGUCUUUACAUACUAUGUUUCUUAUUUAAUUCUCUGUGUUUGUGUGUGUAUAUAUAUUUUUAGGUUCAGAAGCCAAAAUUAAAAUUGUCUUUAGAGAUGUCUCAGUUCCAUCUCUAAUCACUUCACUCUUUCCCAGUGUCUCCUCUAUUUUUAAUUAAUAUUUUAUUGUAAAAAUAGGGAACUAAUUUUUUCUCUUAUAGAAAAGGUAGUGUCUCCUCUGUUCUCCAUCUUUUUUUAUUUCACAGUAUAUUCUCUAGUUUAUUCUAUAAUAUUACGUGGAGAUGUUCCUUACUCCUUUUUAGGGCAACAUAAGUACUGGGUAUUUUGCAUGAGUAAUUUUAUUAGAUAACUGCACAUUUCCCCUUUAUGGGGAUUUUUGUUCUGUUCUCUUAUCAGCAAUGUUUGCUGUCUUCAGUUUCUUCUCACCUUUGCCAAGCAGAGUGGAUUUCUGCUAAGUAGGUGAAAAAUGUUUCAGUGUAGUUUUACUUGACUGUUCUCUGAUGAGUAUCAUUGAGCACGUCAAGAAUAUCUGAGAGCUUUCUUUUCUGUAAACUGUUGGUUCAUGUCUUUUGCCUAUUUGUCUAUAGGUUUUGGGUACUUAGUGCUUCUCUUUUUAAAGGAAAAAGAAGGCUAUCUCUUUGGGAGAUGAAUUUGAAUAUUCUGGUUUGCCAUUUGUUUUAGGAUUAAUGCCCACGUUUGGAAAAAGUUUUUUUUAAGAGUUGUAGUCUAACUCUUUAUGCAUGUGUUCUCCAUGGAAAAGUUAGGGAUUCCUUUUCAUGUCUGCAUUCUCUAGCUACUCACCUUUUUGGGCUGUAUUUCAAAAUAGCUGUCACUAAUAGUGCCUUAUUCCAUCCGGAUCCUGUGUUGAUUAACUUUCUUAGCACAUUCCAGAAAACCACAGAGCGCCUCUACUGCCUUUUUGUCUAUCAUAAACUUGUCAUUGGUGAAACAAUUGCCCAGUGAUGUUAACUCUUUUUUUGGGGAUGGCAUUCAUGCCACCUUUUCCCCUCUGUAUUUGUAAUACAUUUCUGUAGUCUGUAUUCCCUGGAUCUCUUGUCUAGACCAGCAAUUUACAAUCCCUUUCUGCAAAAGGCCUGAAGUAAAUAUUUUAGACAUUUUACAGAUUAUAAAUCUUUGUCACAAUUACUCAGAUUUGUGGCGGCCGAAGACAAUAUGUAAAUGAAUGUCACGGUUCUGUUCUAGCAAAUUUUUAUUUGCAAAAACAGGUCAUGGUGGAGGGAGAGGGAGAAGAAUGGGCAGAUUGGGCCACAUUCUGCUGACCCCUUGUUCAGGCCAUUAUAAUUUAACUCACUUUUAAUUUAUUUAAUUGCCCACUUCCCUGCCAUCAUUUUGGGUGCAUUUAAUAUCAUUUCCCCUAACGGUAAAAUCAGCUAAUAGUCUUGUACCUCUGAGGAGUUUGGUACAGUGUUUUGAUGAUAGCGGUGAUAAGAUUUUAUUUUUGAUGGACUUUUAUUACAGCACAAAGUACGUGUACAGGAAUUUUCUUUUUUGAAGAAGAUCAGAGUAGCUGGAACAUGCUUUAAUUCCUGUUAAUGGGAUGCUGAUGCCACUGACAGUAUUCUUGAGGAGGAACACUGCAGAAAGACUGUGAACCAGGGAUACCGUCGCCUUGCCGCUCCUCUCUGUGGAAGCGGUAAUUCCCAGAGUAGGAUUCUCACCGGGAAGGAGGCCUGUCGCAUGACUGCAGAUGUUACUGUCCUUACCUAAAGAGCUCCAUAAUAAUGGCUUAAUAACAAUAGUAAAUUUGAAAUAGAUAAAAAACACUUAGCUUCGUGAACUGUUGAGUUAGCUCUGUGAGUCCGGAUCAUGUCUAGGUAUCACAAAGAGAGGAACGAAUUCUCAGGCUUUUCCUUGCCGCAAACACAGCACGUCCUGUGUAAACCUGCUAUCGAUGGCAAAGACGGUUGGCCCCUUCUUCAGCUACCCUUCAAAUGACCCUUUGAAAUCAUGGAUGGCUCUGCUCACAUGUAUGGGAAACAUGUAUUCAGUUCCAGAUUUUAUCGGAGGGGUUGCAGAUUUGAUAUCUCUUAGGUUUCCACCUAGGUUUCAUGGUGUUGGAGAGGGGCAGUCAGUAGUAGGGUAUUAGGGGUUGAGUGUGAUAGAAAAUUAAAAUCUGCCCGGAAGGGUUGGACUCGUGGGACGGUGGAGUCGAAGGGAUAAACCCAGCUCCCCGGCCUCCUCUCCUGCGGGAGGAGAGGAGAGGAGGCCAGUGGAGAUGCUCUAGACUUUGGCAGGCGAUUGCGUGAACCCUUCGGGCCUCUCCAUCCUCAGCUGUCCUCCUGUUCACUUCUACUCCUAGAAAUAAAAGAAGCCUGGUGUGACCUGGCGUCUCGUCUGUGUCAGACCUCUCUGGGCGGUUAGGAGAACUGAGACAAAUGGUGUAAAGCACUUGAGGAUAGUACUUGACACGUAGUAAGAACUGAAUAAAAGUUAGCUAUUACAUGUAAAAUUUGAUGUCUGUUAAAUAAUGAAAAUAUUGCUUCUUGUCUGCUCUAUUUGCUAUAUAAAAGUCAAGACAUUUGUAAUUCUAUGAAAGUGCGUUACCCCAAAUUUUCAUCCCUUAUUGCACUAUGCUUCCUUUUGCUGCCUCAUUUAAUAAUGUAAAUAGAUUUGUUGAAACACAGUGAUGCUCAUUUGUUUAAUGUAUUUACAGCUGUUUUCACUCUACAGUGGCAGAAUUGAGUAGAUGUGGAUAGAGGUUACGUGGCUUGCAAAACAAAAGGUAAAUAUCUGUGCAUUACAGGGAAAUCUUGCCAAACCUGAUAGAUAGAUAGAUAUCUUCUGAUCCCAAGUAAAAGUAAGCAGAAAGUACUCAGUUAUAGAACAGCUUUCUGAAACUAUCAUUUAGUCUUCGUUUCUUUUAAUCUGACAUUGAAACAAAGGAUGAUGUUUAAAAGAGGAUAGUGCAAAAUACGAUGUUUAUUCAGGUUUUCUUUUAUUUGCUAUCAGAGAGCUGAUUUUAAAGAAUGACUGUAAAUUAAUAAGUCAUUACCAAUUGCAGUAAACUAUGAAUUUAGAGGUUUGACAUUGUCUUUCAUGACAAAUGAAAAACCGAAAGCAUAAAAUUCAGUUGUACCUACAUACAUUUUUUUUCAGAAUUAUUUUUCUUACAGGUAUUUCAAAAUACUGAGUCUAGUUCCCUGUGCUAUAUAGUAGGUCCUUGUUGGUUGUCUAGUCUAUACAUAGUAAUGUGUAUAUAUUAAUCCCAACCUUCUGAUUGCCCCUCCCCACCCCCCUCCCCUUUGGUAACCGUACAUUUUUCCGUCAGUGAGCCUUUUUCUAUCUUGGAAUUCAGUAUCUUUAUUUAUUUAUUUUACAUUCUGCAUAUAAGUGAUAUCAUACGAUCUUUGACUUCACUUACUAUGAUAAUCUCUAGGUCCAUCCAUGUUGCUACAAAUGGCGUUAUUUCAUUAUUUUUUAUGGCUGAGUAAUACUCCGCUGUGUAUAUGUACCACAUCCUCUAUAUUGGAUUCAUCUGGCAGUGAAGAUUUAUGUUGCUUCCAUGUCUUGGCUAUUGUAAAUACUGCUGCUGUGACCAAAGAGGUGCAUGUAUCUUUUCCAAUUAUAGUUUUGUGUGGAUGUAUUCCCAGGAGUGGGAUUGCAGGAUCACACUGUAGCUCUAUUUUCAAUUUUGUGAGGAACCUGUAUACUAUUCUCCAUAGUGGCUGCCCAAAUUUACAACCAACACUGUAGGAAAGUUCCUUUUUUCCCCACACCCUUUUCACUCUUUAUUGUUCGUGGACUUUUCGAUGAUGGCCAUUCUGACUGGUGCGAGGUGGUACCUCAUUGUAGUUUUGAUCUGCAUUUAUCUAGUAAUUAGUGAUCUUGAGCAUCUUUUGUUGUGCCUUUUGGCCAUCUAUAUGUCAUCUUUGGAGAAAUAUCUACUUAGAUCUUUUGCCCAUUUUAAAACUGGAUUUUUUUAAAAAUUUUAUUGAGCUGUAUGAGCUGUUUGUAUAUUUUGGAGAUGAGUCCCUUGUUGGUCUGAUCAUUUGCACAUAUUUUCGCCCAUCCUAUAGGUUGUAACAAUGGAUAUUUCAAGGUUGCACUGAGCCUCAUCAGCUCAUAGUACCGACUGAGAGCAUCACUUUAAAGAUGGGGAGUCAGGAGUGGUAUCACCCUCAUCCACAGGAGACAGCAGGUUAUUACCCAGUGAGCAGGACUUUUAAAACCAAGCUUGGCUUUUAACAUGUAUCAUUAUUAUUAUUACCCGAAUUUCUUACAUUCAGAGCCAUAAUAAAUGGGGUGAAAUAGGCCUAAGAUAAACUUUGGUUUUAGACUUGAUUUUAAAUUGAAAUGUGUAUGUGACUUUAGAGAGAAGGUUCUGAUAGUAUGAUUAUUAAUUUCUCAGAAGCGAAUCUGCUUCAUGAGUGUGUGGGUUUUCAGAGCAGUCUCCUUACUGGCAGGGGAAUAUCAGACAAGUGGUGUUUUUCAGACAGCAAGGCAGAUGGCUCUUUUUCUUUGUACAGGGUGUGCCAACCAAACGAGACAGCUACACAAAUGUUAACCCCUGAGGGAGCGAGGAAACAGUCGCUGUCAGUUGUUCUUUAUAAAUCUGUAACUUGACUUGAGAAUGAUGUGAGAAAAGUAAUCUUUUAAGGAAAGUAUGCAUUAAAUGCACAAGUGCAACCUGUACUCUCACUUCUCACUAAAAUAGUGGAAAAUUAUGUAAUUACUUCAAAAAGGAAGCAAACUCAUAGGUCUGACAUUUCUGGGCUAAUGUGGUGGCAUUGCUGCCCAGUUCCCGUUCAGGCAUCCAUGAAGAUGACAAAAACGGGAAAUUGCACCAUAAAGCAAAUGCCACAUGCGAAGAUCUGGGUAGAAGUAUCCUAAAUAUGGUUGGUGAAUGGACUGAGACUGGUUUGGGAUUAUAUAGCACACAUUCUGCUUCUGAACUAGGAUAGAGCAAAUGGUCCCACACAAAGCAGUACACAGUUUAAAAAUUGAUUUGCACAGCAUGCCUAACUUCGGGAAGUACGUGGGUUAUGCCGAGUGGCAAAAAUUUGCCAUCUGUAGACUUACGAGCCAGUCAUAUCAGCAUCCUUAACCUGCUGCUUUGCCCAUCUCUACUAGUUCCUGUCCAUUCAUUUUCUUCUAAAACGUAUUUCCCAGCUUGCAACCCAGUAGCAGGGGCUAGGGGAGAUGUGUGAGAGUGCCCUAUAAAUUUGAAUGCAUAUCAUUUAAAAAAAAGCUUUUUAAGUAGGAAGAUGUGGCGCACAUGUGUUUCAUGGAUUAUGUACAGUGCAUGUGACAGCUGACAGGAGUACCUCUGAGUGCAGGAAGAGCUACUUUCUCCACAUGCUCGCAUUAGAGGGAAUGUCUUGUCACGCAUCAACAAUCGAGCUGAGAGGACAGCACAUCGCUUAUUUCAGUCUGAGAGGGAGAAGCUGCCAACAUUCAGUGGAC
RNAcentral lists this long non-coding RNA (7569 nucleotides) under Sus scrofa (pig). Its description in RNAcentral is "lncRNA (ENSSSCG00000063349.1)". Lineage: Eukaryota; Metazoa; Chordata; Mammalia; Artiodactyla; Suidae. The record is from RNAcentral.